RNAcentral lists this ribosomal RNA (503 nucleotides) under uncultured bacterium. RNAcentral describes it as "partial 16S ribosomal RNA". It matches the Rfam family "Bacterial small subunit ribosomal RNA", at positions 30 to 523 of the family's 1533-position model. The record is from RNAcentral.
AUUGAACGCUGGCGGCAGGCUUAACACAUGCAAGUCGCGCGGGGUGAUGGUGCUUGCACUAUCACUUAGCGGCGGACGGGUGAGUAAUGCUUAGGAAUCUGCCUAUUAGUGGGGGACAACAUCUCGAAAGGGAUGCUAAUACCGCAUACGUCCUACGGGAGAAAGCAGGGGAUCACUUGUGACCUUGCGCUAAUAGAUGAGCCUAAGUCGGAUUAGCUAGUUGGUGGGGUAAAGGCCUACCAAGGCGACGACCUGUAGCGGGUCUGAGAGGAUGAUCCGCCACACUGGGACUGAGACACGGCCCAGACUCCUACGGGAGGCAGCAGUGGGGAAUAUCGGACAAUGGGGGGAACCCUGAUCCAGCCAUGCCGCGUGUGUGAAGAAGGCCUUAUGGUUGUAAAGCACUUUAAGCGAGGAGGAGGCUCUUUUGGUUAAUACCCAAGAUGAGUGGACGUUACUCGCAGAAUAAGCACCGGCUAACUCUGUGCCAGCCGCCGCCGUAA